GGGGGCGAAACGGUUUCGACGGGGGCAUUUAAACAAAACCGGCGGAUAGCGGUGGAAAUCGCUUUAAAAGUUCCAAACUUUAAAUUAAAAGCUAACGAUAAUUUAGCAUACGCUGCCUAAUAUAGGGUAGCCGUUCUUACCGAGAGGACCACGGCUUGGAUAAGAGCGUCACUUAGUGGUGAAUGUGAGGCGCCUAAGCUUUGCAGCGCCCAUGAAAAAUGAAGCUACCAAAUUUUAAAGCUUGUUUGUGUGCUUUAUAAUGAGGGAAUGUUAAACACAAAAUAUGUCCGUAGAAGGUUUUGCGGCGUGUUUUCGGACGGGGGUUCAACUCCCCCCGCCUCCACCA
Molecule: transfer-messenger RNA, 346 nt
Filed under: Bacillota bacterium
Lineage: Bacteria; Bacillati; Bacillota
Also listed under: 1 other name
Rfam family: transfer-messenger RNA
About the family: Bacterial tmRNA, also known as 10Sa RNA or SsrA, is named for its dual tRNA and mRNA-like properties. Its role is to liberate the mRNA from a stalled ribosome. To accomplish this part of the tmRNA is used as a reading frame that ends in a translation stop signal.
Source: RNAcentral